This 324-nucleotide long non-coding RNA is filed under the name Sorghum bicolor (sorghum). RNAcentral's name for it is "long non-coding RNA (SBIC_LNC004287)". The record is from RNAcentral. Lineage: Eukaryota; Viridiplantae; Streptophyta; Magnoliopsida; Poales; Poaceae.
GCCUCCCGUUCGUUCCCGUGGCUUCUGGAGUCUUCUAGAUGGUAGAAAAUUGCGCGGCACGUUAAUAUCUCUAUGUAAACCCGACGUGUGGGCCUUUCUAUCAUAUUUCCUGAUAAUCCCCUGCAGAAAUAGACAAACACCAAAACUCAUGGAAUUCUGUCAGAUAAAACCCUAAGUCUAGAUGUUGAUUUCAUUUAGAUCCUUUUCUUUGUUUAUUUGAUAAUUAAAUUUGAUACUUAAGGACCGUCAACAGUGGUUAACCACAUAAUCCGUAGUGGAUAUACAUCUUAGAAUGUGCUAGCUAUUUGUGACUUUGAUAUGCGG